RNAcentral lists this ribosomal RNA (497 nucleotides) under uncultured bacterium. Its description in RNAcentral is "partial 16S ribosomal RNA". It matches the Rfam family "Bacterial small subunit ribosomal RNA", at positions 28 to 507 of the family's 1533-position model. The record is from RNAcentral.
GACGAACGCUGGCGGCGUGCCUAAUACAUGCAAGUUGGGCGCUGAAGGUUGGUACUUGUACCAACUGGAUGAGCAGCGAACGGGUGAGUAACGCGUGGGGAAUCUGCCUUUGAGCGGGGGACAACAUUUGGAAACGAAUGCUAAUACCGCAUAAAAACUUUAAACACAAGUUUUAAGUUUGAAAGAUGCAAUUGCAUCACUCAAAGAUGAUCCCGCGUUGUAUUAGCUAGUUGGUGAGGUAGAGGCUCACCAAGGCGAUGAUACAUAGCCGACCUGAGAGGGUGAUCGGCCACAUUGGGACUGAGACACGGCCCAAACUCCUACGGGAGGCAGCAGUAGGGAAUCUUCGGCAAUGGACGAAAGUCUGACCGAGCAACGCCGCGUGAGUGAAGAAGGGUUUCGGAUCGUAAAACUCUGUUGGUAGAGAAGAACGUUGGUGAGAGUGGAAAGCUCAUCAAGUGACGGUAACUACACAGAAAGGGACGGCUAACUACGUG